CACACUAUCAUUAACUGAAUCCAUAGGUUAAUGAGGCGAACCGGGGGAACUGAAACAUCUAAGUACCCCGAGGAAAAGAAAUCAACCGAGAUUCCCCCAGUAGCGGCGAGCGAACGGGGAGCAGCCCAGAGCCUGAAUCAGUGUGUGUGUUAGUGGAAGCGUCUGGAAAGGCGCGCGAUACAGGGUGACAGCCCCGUACACAAAAAUGCACAUACUGUGAGCUCGAUGAGUAGGGCGGGACACGUGGUAUCCUGUCUGAAUAUGGGGGGACCAUCCUCCAAGGCUAAAUACUCCUGACUGACCGAUAGUGAACCAGUACCGUGAGGGAAAGGCGAAAAGAACCCCGGCGAGGGGAGUGAAAAAGAACCUGAAACCGUGUACGUACAAGCAGUGGGAGCACGCUUAGGCGUGUGACUGCGUACCUUUUGUAUAAUGGGUCAGCGACUUAUAUUCUGUAGCAAGGUUAACCGAAUAGGGGAGCCGAAGGGAAACCGAGUCUUAACUGGGCGUUAAGUUGCAGGGUAUAGACCCGAAACCCGGUGAUCUAGCCAUGGGCAGGUUGAAGGUUGGGUAACACUAACUGGAGGACCGAACCGACUAAUGUUGAAAAAUUAGCGGAUGACUUGUGGCUGGGGGUGAAAGGCCAAUCAAACCGGGAGAUAGCUGGUUCUCCCCGAAAGCUAUUUAGGUAGCGCCUCGUGAAUUCAUCUCCGGGGGUAGAGCACUGUUUCGGCAAGGGGGUCAUCCCGACUUACCAACCCGAUGCAAACUGCGAAUACCGGAGAAUGUUAUCACGGGAGACACACGGCGGGUGCUAACGUCCGUCGUGAAGAGGGAAACAACCCAGACCGCCAGCUAAGGUCCCAAAGUCAUGGUUAAGUGGGAAACGAUGUGGGAAGGCCCAGACAGCCAGGAUGUUGGCUUAGAAGCAGCCAUCAUUUAAAGAAAGCGUAAUAGCUCACUGGUCGAGUCGGCCUGCGCGGAAGAUGUAACGGGGCUAAACCAUGCACCGAAGCUGCGGCAGCGACGCUGAUGCGUUGUUGGGUAGGGGAGCGUUCUGUAAGCCUG
RNAcentral lists this ribosomal RNA (1068 nucleotides) under Escherichia coli. RNAcentral describes it as "partial 23S ribosomal RNA". It matches the Rfam family "Bacterial large subunit ribosomal RNA", at positions 144 to 1251 of the family's 2925-position model. The record is from RNAcentral. Lineage: Bacteria; Pseudomonadati; Pseudomonadota; Gammaproteobacteria; Enterobacterales; Enterobacteriaceae.